ACGCUGGCGGCAUGCCUUACACAUGCAAGUCGAACGGCAGCACGGAGCUUGCUCUGGUGGCGAGUGGCGAACGGGUGAGUAAUAUAUCGGAACGUACCCUGGAGUGGGGGAUAACGUAGCGAAAGUUACGCUAAUACCGCAUACGAUCUACGGAUGAAAGUGGGGGAUCGCAAGACCUCAUGCUCGUGGAGCGGCCGAUAUCUGAUUAGCUAGUUGGUAGGGUAAAAGCCUACCAAGGCAUCGAUCAGUAGCUGGUCUGAGAGGACGACCAGCCACACUGGAACUGAGACACGGUCCAGACUCCUACGGGAGGCAGCAGUGGGGAAUUUUGGACAAUGGGCGAAAGCCUGAUCCAGCAAUGCCGCGUGAGUGAAGAAGGCCUUCGGGUUGUAAAGCUCUUUUGUCAGGGAAGAAACGGUGAGGGCUAAUAUCCCUUGCUAAUGACGGUACCUGAAGAAUAAGCACCGGCUAACUACGUGCCAGCAGCCGCGGUAAUACGUAGGGUGCAAGCGUUAAUCGGAAUUACUGGGCGUAAAGCGUGCGCAGGCGGUUUGUAAGUCUGAUGUGAAUCCCGGGCUCAACCUGGGAAUUGCAUUGGAGACUGCAAGGGCU
RNAcentral lists this ribosomal RNA (612 nucleotides) under uncultured bacterium. RNAcentral's name for it is "bacterial SSU rRNA". It matches the Rfam family "Bacterial small subunit ribosomal RNA", at positions 33 to 642 of the family's 1533-position model. The record is from RNAcentral.